GGCCGGGCCUGGACCCCUUGAUAAAUAUUUUCAAGGGGUAGGACCCGAGACUCGAGCUCGGGUCCUCCAGAGUAGAAAGCCGAAGCGAAAACAUUAAUUCUAUAAAGGUUUUUCAUCCGCAAUUGAUAGACGAAAUUUCCCACAUUAAGCAAUUUUGCAUAUUUAUAACCCUUGAAAGAGUAGUGUGCAUCAUCAGACCAUCACUAAAUCAUUCGAGCUGACAUAUCAUCUUUUACUCGAAUCAGGAACACGCAUAGAGCAAAAUCUAUGCCUGUUUCCAAUCACGUGGCUUCAGUUCUGGUAUGGGAACCAGCGUAAAAUAAACCGAAACAUGUUGUAUACACUCGACCACGGAAGGUUCAACUCUCGAGACACACUUCUUAGCACUGUUUCAUAUUCUGCCAGAAUGGCCAUAGCGACCGCCAUCUUAUCUACAUCUGUUUCGAUAUGUGGUGGUCCUCUGUCUGGAGUUAUACCUAAAUCCCCGGUUGUUUCAAAUUGGCCUCAGAGAUCCUCUAAGCAAACCUUUAAUUCUCCAACAUCACGUAAAUUAUCAUUAUUUUUUUAUUAUUGGUAAAACAAUUUUACUGAAAUAGCACGUUCGUUUAUUGUGAGAGCCAUAAUGGUCACUGAGAAGCGGGUUCGGCAUUCUUAUUUUAAUCUAGCAAAAAGUCUCUCGCAUAAGCAAUGUUACUUGUAGCAAAAGCCAAUUUUUUCAAUAUUUGCCUGAUGAUUAACAGAUUCCAAAACGCCAUCAUUGUUAUUUAGCAAGCUG
Molecule: long non-coding RNA, 775 nt
Filed under: Androctonus crassicauda
Lineage: Eukaryota; Metazoa; Arthropoda; Arachnida; Scorpiones; Buthidae
Source: RNAcentral